Molecule: ribosomal RNA, 461 nt
Filed under: uncultured bacterium
Lineage: Bacteria
Description: partial 16S ribosomal RNA
Rfam family: Bacterial small subunit ribosomal RNA
Source: RNAcentral
CCUACGGGAGGCAGCAGUGAGGAAUAUUGGUCAAUGGGCGCAAGCCUGAACCAGCCAAGUCGCGUGAGGGAUGACGGUCCUAUGGAUUGUAAACCUCUUUUGUCGGGGAGCAAGGCCCGCCACGUGUGGCGGGAAGGAGAGUACCCGAAGAAAAAGCAUCGGCUAACUCCGUGCCAGCAGCCGCGGUAAUACGGAGGAUCCGAGCGUUAUCCGGAUUUAUUGGGUUUAAAGGGAGCGUAGGUGGAUUGUUAAGUCAGUUGUGAAAGUUUGCGGCUCAACCGUAAAAUUGCAGUUGAAACUGGCAGUCUUGAGUACAGUAGAGGUGGGCGGAAUUCGUGGUGUAGCGGUGAAAUGCUUAGAUAUCACGAAGAACUCCGAUUGCGAAGGCAGCUUACUAAACUAUAACUGACACUGAAGCACGAAAGCGUGGGGAUCAAACAGGAUUAGAUACCCCUGUAGUC